RNAcentral lists this small nucleolar RNA (93 nucleotides) under Sus scrofa (pig). RNAcentral's name for it is "U8 small nucleolar RNA (ENSSSCG00070010106.1)". It matches the Rfam family "U8 small nucleolar RNA", at positions 1 to 90 of the family's 135-position model. From Rfam's summary of the family: U8 is a member of the C/D class of snoRNA which contain the C (UGAUGA) and D (CUGA) box motifs. U8 is the RNA component of a small complex (the U8 snoRNP) which is required for accumulation of mature large subunit ribosomal RNAs, 5.8S and 28S rRNAs. Lineage: Eukaryota; Metazoa; Chordata; Mammalia; Artiodactyla; Suidae. The record is from RNAcentral.
UGGUCAGAUAGGAUAAUCCUUACCUGUUCCUCCUUCGGGAGGGCAGAAUAGAAAAUGAUGAUUGGAGCUUGGAUAUAUUACCUUUAUUAUGAU